RNAcentral lists this ribosomal RNA (460 nucleotides) under uncultured bacterium. Its description in RNAcentral is "bacterial SSU rRNA". It matches the Rfam family "Bacterial small subunit ribosomal RNA", at positions 335 to 787 of the family's 1533-position model. The record is from RNAcentral.
ACUCCUACGGGAGGCAGCAGUAGGGAAUCUUCCACAAUGGGCGCAAGCCUGAUGGAGCAACACCGCGUGAGUGAAGAAGGGUUUCGGCUCGUAAAGCUCUGUUGUUAAAGAAGAACACGUAUGAGAGUAACUGUUCAUACGUUGACGGUAUUUAACCAGAAAGUCACGGCUAACUACGUGCCAGCAGCCGCGGUAAUACGUAGGUGGCAAGCGUUAUCCGGAUUUAUUGGGCGUAAAGAGAGUGCAGGCGGUUUUCUAAGUCUGAUGUGAAAGCCUUCGGCUUAACCGGAGAAGUGCAUCGGAAACUGGAUAACUUGAGUGCAGAAGAGGGUAGUGGAACUCCAUGUGUAGCGGUGGAAUGCGUAGAUAUAUGGAAGAACACCAGUGGCGAAGGCGGCUACCUGGUCUGCAACUGACGCUGAGACUCGAAAGCAUGGGUAGCGAACAGGAUUAGAUACCC